CCCUUUUAGAGGCCGCAAGAGGAGAAAUAUCCUGUGGGACCAUGGCUGUUGGCACUGUUUGUUUUUGUUGUCUGUGGCUCAGGUCAACCACAUAAAUUGGCCUUUCCUGGAGACUGCCAGAACUUUCUCAAAACUGUAACAUCCAGAGGGAGUCACCCCCACCCAGGACCGGCAAGUGGGAUGUUUAAGGAACCGGCCGGCCCUGGACGAAAGACUGAGGCCAUUCAUCUGCUCUGGAGUUCAUCCUCGGGAUCUGAGAGGCACAGCCUGGAGAAGACAUCUCAUCAGCCAUCGGCUCCCUUAAGCUAUCUUUCAGAUCAUUCAGAGCAUAAGGAUGGGCAUGUGAGAAGGCCAGGGAUUUGACACCACCUCCCUCCCACUGGAGAGGGGAGGACCACGGAAGCGGUCAGCCAGUUUCUGCGGGAAGCAACAGGCCACACGGAAUAGAAAAAGUCGCUCCCCCACUUGUUCCCUGAUCACUUCAUCGUGGAUGUCAGACCAAAUUGCCUUCUCACAGGACAUCUUGGUGCAUCCGUGUUCUCAAGCGGAAAGGACAUUUUGCUUUUCUGUUGGCAGGAUUAGUAGCCACGCGGGUCGUCCGCAGCAGUGCUGUCUUUUUGGCUUUUCCCUUGGUUUCACUAAUGCGUGCAUGUGGCCCUCUGAACGAUCACUGGUUUACUUUCUAUGGAUACAAUCUCUCCCCCAUUGAGAAUUGGUUUUACAAAUAAAUGCCUUCAUUCAACCUUA
Molecule: long non-coding RNA, 747 nt
Organism: Mandrillus leucophaeus (drill)
Lineage: Eukaryota; Metazoa; Chordata; Mammalia; Primates; Cercopithecidae
Exons: 3
Source: RefSeq, a predicted model, not a curated record